CAGUUUCGACUUGAGCAGGAUUAAUAAAGUGAACGUGCGUAUCAAUCCCUCCAGCCGUCACAAUCAUUCCUUCUCCGCCAAUGAUUUCGGUAGCUGUCCCUAUAACAAUGUCCACAUUAUCCAUGAUAAGCGGAUUCCCGGCUUUGCCGAUCGCAAAUAUCUUCCCGUCACGAAUAGCGAUAUCCGCUUUAACAAUCCCUGUAUAAUCAAGGAUCACCGCGUUUGUAAUAACUGUAUCGGGUACAUCCUCCCCGCGUGUAACAAGCGGAUUUUGCCCCAUCCCGUCCCGG
Molecule: small RNA, 290 nt
Organism: Bacillus sp. B-jedd
Lineage: Bacteria; Bacillati; Bacillota; Bacilli; Caryophanales; Bacillaceae
Rfam family: 5' ureB small RNA
Source: Rfam